This 440-nucleotide ribosomal RNA is filed under the name uncultured bacterium. RNAcentral describes it as "partial 16S ribosomal RNA". It matches the Rfam family "Bacterial small subunit ribosomal RNA", at positions 338 to 795 of the family's 1533-position model. The record is from RNAcentral.
CCUACGGGUGGCAGCAGUGGGGGAUAUUGCACAAUGGGGGAAACCCUGAUGCAGCGACGCCGCGUGUGGGAAGACGGUCCUCUGGAUUGUAAACCACUUUCCCCAGGGACGAAGAUGACGGUACCUGGGGAGGAAGCUCCGUCAAACUACGUGCCAGCAGCCGCGGUAAUACGUAGGGAGCGAGCGUUGUCCGGAAUUACUGGGUGUAAGGGGAGCGUAGGCGGGGGUGCAAGUUGGGUGUCAAAACUACGGGCUCAACUGGUAGUCGCACUCAAAACUGCAGCUCUUGAGUGAAGUAGAGGCAGGCGGAAUGCCUAGUGUAGCGGUGAAAUGCGUAGAUAUUAGGAAGAACACCAGUGGCGAAGGCGGCCUGCUGGGCUUUUACUGACGCUGAGGCUCGAAAGUGUGGGGAGCAAACAGGAUUAGAUACCCGGGUAGUC